AGAGUUUGAUCAUGGCUCAGGACGAACGCUGGCGGCGUGCUUAACACAUGCAAGUCGAACGGAAAGGCCCUUCGGGGUACUCGAGUGGCGAACGGGUGAGUAACACGUGGGUGAUCUGCCCUGCACUCUGGGAUAAGCCUGGGAAACUGGGUCUAAUACCGAAUAGGACCACGCGCUUCAUGGUGUGUGGUGGAAAGCUUUUGCGGUGUGGGAUGGGCCCGCGGCCUAUCAGCUUGUUGGUGGGGUAAUGGCCUACCAAGGCGACGACGGGUAGCCGGCCUGAGAGGGUGACCGGCCACACUGGGACUGAGAUACGGCCCAGACUCCUACGGGAGGCAGCAGUGGGGAAUAUUGCACAAUGGGCGCAAGCCUGAUGCAGCGACGCCGCGUGAGGGAUGACGGCCUUCGGGUUGUAAACCUCUUUCAAUAGGGACGAAGCGCAAGUGACGGUACCUAUAGAAGAAGCACCGGCCAACUACGUGCCAGCAGCCGCGGUAAUACGUAGGGUGCGAGCGUUGUCCGGAAUUACUGGGCGUAAAGAGCUCGUAGGUGGUUUGUCGCGUUGUUCGUGAAAACUCACAGCUUAACUGUGGGCGUGCGGGCGAUACGGGCAGACUAGAGUACUGCAGGGGAGACUGGAAUUCCUGGUGUAGCGGUGGAAUGCGCAGAUAUCAGGAGGAACACCGGUGGCGAAGGCGGGUCUCUGGGCAGUAACUGACGCUGAGGAGCGAAAGCGUGGGGAGCGAACAGGAUUAGAUACCCUGGUAGUCCAA
Molecule: ribosomal RNA, 773 nt
Filed under: uncultured bacterium
Lineage: Bacteria
Description: bacterial SSU rRNA
Rfam family: Bacterial small subunit ribosomal RNA
Source: RNAcentral